UACGUAGGGUCCGAGCGUUGUCCGGAAUUAUUGGGCGUAAAGGGCUCGUAGGCGGUUUGUCGCGUCGGGGAGUGAAAACACGGGGCUUAACCCCGUGCCUGCUUCCGAUACGGGCAGACUAGAGGUAUGCAGGGGAGAACGGAAUUCCUGGUGUAGCGGUGAAAUGCGCAGAUAUCAGGAGGAACACCGGUGGCGAAGGCGGUUCUCUGGGCAUUACCUGACGCUGAGGAGCGAAAGUGUGGGGAGCGAACAGG
This 254-nucleotide ribosomal RNA is filed under the name uncultured bacterium. RNAcentral describes it as "partial 16S ribosomal RNA". It matches the Rfam family "Bacterial small subunit ribosomal RNA", at positions 524 to 776 of the family's 1533-position model. The record is from RNAcentral.